GACGAACGCUGGCGGCGUGCUUAACACAUGCAAGUCGAACGGUGAAGCGCCUUCCUUUUUGGUGGGUGUGGAUGAGUGGCGAACGGGUGAGUAACACGUGAGUAACCUGCCCCCUUCUUCUGGAUAACCGCAUGAAAGUGUGGCUAAUACGGGAUAUUCUGGGUCUGUCGCAUGAUGGGUCUGGGAAAGAUAUUGUUUCGGUGGGGGAUGGGCUCGCGGCCUAUCAGCUUGUUGGUGGGGUGAUGGCCUACCAAGGCGGUGACGGGUAGCCGGCCUGAGAGGGUGGACGGGCACACUGGGACUGAGACACGGCCCAGACUCCUACGGGAGGCAGCAGUGGGGAAUAGUGCACAAUGGGCGCAAGCCUGAUGCAGCGACGCCGCGUGAGGGAUGGAGGCCUUCGGGUUGUGAACCUCUUUCGCCAGUGAAGCAGGCCUGCCUCGUUUGUGGGUGGGUUGACGGUAGCUGGAUAAGAAGCGCCGGCUAACUACGUG
RNAcentral lists this ribosomal RNA (494 nucleotides) under uncultured bacterium. Its description in RNAcentral is "partial 16S ribosomal RNA". It matches the Rfam family "Bacterial small subunit ribosomal RNA", at positions 28 to 507 of the family's 1533-position model. The record is from RNAcentral.